UCCUACGGGAGGCAGCAGUGGGGAAUUUUGCGCAAUGGGCUAACGCCUGACGCAGCAACGCCGCGUGGAGGAUGAAGGUCUUUGGAUUGUAAACUCCUGUCGACCGGGAAAAAGCAACUCGACCUAACACGUCGGGGAGUUGAUUGUACCGGUGGAGGAAGCCCCGGCUAACUCUGUGCCAGCAGCCGCGGUAAUACAGAGGGGGCAAGCGUUAUUCGGAAUUAUUGGGCGUAAAGGGCGCGUAGGCGGCUUGGCAAGUGGAAGGUGAAAUCCCUCGGCUUAACCGAGGAACUGCCCUCCAAACUGCUUUGCUUGAGGCCGGGAGAGGCGAGUGGAAUUCCCAGUGUAGCGGUGAAAUGCGUAGAUAUUGGGAGGAACACCAGUGGCGAAGGCGGCUCGCUGGACCGGUUCUGACGCUGAGGCGCGAAAGCGUGGGGAGCAAACGGGAUUAGAUACCCCUGUAGUCC
RNAcentral lists this ribosomal RNA (467 nucleotides) under uncultured bacterium. Its description in RNAcentral is "bacterial SSU rRNA". It matches the Rfam family "Bacterial small subunit ribosomal RNA", at positions 337 to 796 of the family's 1533-position model. The record is from RNAcentral.